AGGUAGGUAUGCCUUUCUGAACAUUGCUUUGGCUUUUGGUAAACUUAUAAUAGCAGGUUAUAUGAGAAUUGAUUCUUUAAAAUAGCCACAGCUUAAAUCACAUCUUAAUUUAUUUAUGUUUUACAAAAGUUAGAUCUGGUUACAGUGUAAUUUUGCACACUGGUUUAGUGGGAACAAUAACUUGAACUCAAGAGUUGCCAGCGCUUUCACUCCGAGAGAACUUAUGGUACAGUUUUCUGGAAUUUGCAUUGUACGGUUAAGUUUAUUCACGCAACCAGGAAUUAUGGAGAAUUCAUAACGGAAUUGAACAUUUUAUUCCAAAACUGCAUUAUUGGAAUACUUUUUCAACUUUCUAUAUAAAUUUGCCUAAAUUUUGCAAUUUUUUUUUUUAUUCUUUGGAGUAACAUGGAUGUAGUCUAGUAGCCAGGAAGAUGGUUCUGGUUAAACUACAGAGCUUCUUUGCUGCAAAGCAUGACUAUACUUAGUGUAUAAGGGCUUUAAAUGUAUUCUCCAAAACUGC
Molecule: non-coding RNA, 520 nt
Organism: Pelobates cultripes (western spadefoot toad)
Lineage: Eukaryota; Metazoa; Chordata; Amphibia; Anura; Pelobatidae
Source: the annotation of a GenBank genome assembly